CGGGGCGCGUUCUCGGGAGGCAGCAGNUCUACGGGAGGCAGCAGUCUACGGUGNAGCGCNANUCAGGUCUACGGGCAGGCUUUUUUACUACGNAGAAGGGNAUAAUACAUGUAUUAUUUUGCCGGUACCGUACGAAUAAGCAUCGGCUAACUCCGUGCCAGCAGCCCGCGGUAAUAANNNA
This 181-nucleotide ribosomal RNA is filed under the name uncultured Anaerophaga sp. Its description in RNAcentral is "partial 16S ribosomal RNA". The record is from RNAcentral. Lineage: Bacteria; Pseudomonadati; Bacteroidota; Bacteroidia; Marinilabiliales; Marinilabiliaceae.